CCUACGGGAGGCUGCAGUGGGGAAUAUUGCACAAUGGGGGAAACCCUGAUGCAGCGACGCCGCGUGAGUGAAGAAGUAUUUAGUUAUGUAAAGCUCUAUCAGCAGGGAAGAAAAUGACGGUACCUGAGUAAGAAGCCACGGCUAACUACGUGCCAGCAGCCGCGGUAAUACGUAGGGGGCAAGCGUUAUCCGGAUUUACUGGGUGUAAAGGGAGCGUAGACGGGAGUGCAAGUCUGGAGUGAAAGUCGGGGGCUCAACCCCCUGACUGCUCUUGAAACUGUACGUCUGGAGUGCAGGAGAGGUAAGUGGAAUGCGUAGUGUAGCGGUGAAAUGCAUAGAUAUUAGGAAGAACACCAGUGGCGAAGGCGGCUUACUGGACUGUAACUGACGUUGAGGCUCGAAAGCGUGGGUAUCAAACAGGAUUAGAUACCCGAGUAGUC
This 440-nucleotide ribosomal RNA is filed under the name uncultured bacterium. RNAcentral's name for it is "partial 16S ribosomal RNA". It matches the Rfam family "Bacterial small subunit ribosomal RNA", at positions 338 to 795 of the family's 1533-position model. The record is from RNAcentral.